This 452-nucleotide small RNA is filed under the name Histoplasma capsulatum var. duboisii H88. RNAcentral describes it as "Histoplasma capsulatum H88 hypothetical RNA". Lineage: Eukaryota; Fungi; Ascomycota; Eurotiomycetes; Onygenales; Ajellomycetaceae. The record is from RNAcentral.
GGCAUUGGCAUCCGGCACCAAGGCCCAUAGCUACGCAUUGAAAACGUCGAGCCCAGAAACGAAAAGGCUGCUCGAUUUCUUCCAGUCUGACAGGCGAAUCCUAGGCGAUGAUCCCCGGUUGCGUCCGGGCAGGGGGAAGCCAGCCCCCGACAUCUACCUGGCCGCUUUGCAGUCACUAAACUCGACAACAAGCUGUGACAGGAAGGUGAUCCUUCCUAAUGAAUGCUUAGUCUUUGAAGACAGUGUCGCUGGAGUAAAGGCAGGAAGAAGGGCCGGGAUGAGAGUUGUUUGGGUACCACAUCCUGAUCUGGUGGUCGAGUAUCAGGCGAAGCAGAAAAAUGAGUUGUUUGAGAUGGCGGAUCGUAUUAAUAUUGAAAAUGAUUGUCAGCAAAACCAGAUUGAUGACAGCUGCAUUGAUAUUGUAGCAAAUCUGAACCAAUUUGAUUGUGAGA